RNAcentral lists this small nucleolar RNA (116 nucleotides) under Oryza sativa (Asian cultivated rice). RNAcentral's name for it is "Z176 small nucleolar RNA". Lineage: Eukaryota; Viridiplantae; Streptophyta; Magnoliopsida; Poales; Poaceae. The record is from RNAcentral.
UGAUGAUGAUGAUGACGAGGAGGAGGAGGAACCGGGUGUUGCACCUGAUCAACCGGGUGAGGCCGGUGAGGAAUCUCCUCCCCGAUCAAGAAUCAUGGCAAUGCCGCUGAUGGGAA